UUGAUGAAAUAAAUGAAAUGGAACACCUUGGAAAAUGUGAUCACAGAGGGUGAUAAUCCCGUACAUGCAAGUUUAUGAAUCAUAGCAGACUCCUGAGUAAGUCGGGACACGUGUAAUCCUGACCGAAUCCGCCGGGACCAUCCGGCAAGGCUAAAUACUCCUGAGAGACCGAUAGUGAACCAGUACCGUGAGGGAAAGGUGAAAAGCACUUCGAACAGAAGAGUGAAAUAGUCCCUGAACCCAUACGCCUACAAGCAGUCGGAGCCGCUUCGUGCGGUGACGGCGUGCCUUUUGCAUAAUGAGCCUACGAGUUACUCAUCACCAGCGAGGUUAAGUACUUCAGGUACGUAAGCCGAAGCGAAAGCGAGUCUGAAUAGGGCGUCAAGUUGGUGGUGGUAGACGCGAAACCUUAGUGAUCUACCCAUGGGCAGGGUGAAGGUUUGGUAACACAAACUGGAGGCCCGAACCGGUAAACGUUGAAAAGUUUUCGGAUGACCUGUGGGUAGGGGUGAAAGGCCAAUCAAACUGGGAAAUAGCUCGUACUCUCCGAAAUGCAUUUAGGUGCAGCCUCUGUUGUUUUGUUCUAGAGGUAGAGCUACUGAUUGGAUGCGAGGGCUUCACCGCCUAUCAAAUCCGGCCAAACUCCGAAUGCUAGAACAUGAAGACAGGGAGUGAGCCAGCGGGUGCUAAGGUCCGUUGACGAAAGAGGGAGAACUCAGACCAUCAGCUAAGGUCCCCAAUUAUAUGCUAAGUUGGAAUAAAAACGGGGUGGGACUGCUUAGACAGCUAGGAUGUUGGCUUGGAAGCAGCCAUUCAUUUAAAGAGUGCGUAACAGCUCACUAGUCGAGCGGUCCUGCAUGGAUAAUACGCGGGCAUAAGCAUAUAACCGAAGCUAUGGGAUUGUAGAUGAUACAAUCGGUAGGAGAGCAUUCCAUUCAGCAUAGAAGCAGUAUCGUGAGGUAUUGUGGAGCGGAUGGAAAAGCAAAUGUAGGCAUAAGUAACGAUAAUGCGGGUGAGAACCCCGCACGCCGAAAGAUCAAGGAUUCCCCGGCAAUGUCAAUCAUCCGGGGGUAAGUCGGAUCCUAAGGGUAAGCCGAGUGGCGAUCCCGAUGGCAAACAGGUUAAUAUUCCUGUACUGAUCAUAACUGCGAUGCAGCGACGCAGAGGUGACACUGCUGCGUACUGACGGAAUAGUACGUUGAAACCCGUAUUCUUUGAUACCGGUAGUGAAGCACGCCGGUAGAGAUGAAAGGUGAUAGUACCGCAAUGCUUCGGUUGCGCGGAUAACGCAGGUAAGCUGACUGCCAAGAAAACCUGCUAAGCUUCAGGUAAUGAUCAUCCGUACUGUAAACGGACACACGUGAUCAGGUAGAAAAUACUAAGGCGCUCGAGAGAUUCAUGGUUAAGGAACUAGGCAAAAUGGUCCUGUAACUUCGGGAUAAAGGACGCUCUUGUGAAAGAGCCGCAGAUAAUAGGCCCAAGCCCCGGUAAACGGCGGCCGUAACUAUAACGGUCCUAAGGUAGCGAAAUUCCUUGUCGGGUAAGUUCCGACCUGCACGAAUGGUGUAACGAUCUGGGUACUGUCUCAACCAUGAGCUCGGUGAAAUUGUAGUUCCGGUGAAGAUGCCGGAUACCCGCAACGGGACGGAAAGACCCCGUGAACCUUUACUGCAGCUUUGCAUUGAUUUUGGGUAACAGAUGUGUAGGAUAGGUCGGAGGCUUUGAUGCUGCGUCGUCAGGCGUAGAGUAGCCGUCGUUGAAAUACGACCCUUUUGUUAUCUGAGGUCUAAUCCCGUUAGGGAGACAUUGCAUGGUGGGUAGUUUGACUGGGGUGGUCGCCUCCAAAAGUGUAACGGAGGCUUCUCAAGGUACCCUCAAGGCGUUUGGUAAUCGUCUGCAGAGUGCAAUGGCAUAAGGGUGCUUGACUGUGAGACCGACACGUCGAUCAGGUUGGAAACAAGAGCAUAGUGAUCCGGUGGUUCCGCAUGGAAGGGCCAUCGCUCAAAGGAUAAAAGGUACUCCGGGGAUAACAGGCUGAUCGCUCCCAAGAGCUCAUAU
This 2058-nucleotide ribosomal RNA is filed under the name human gut metagenome. RNAcentral describes it as "bacterial LSU rRNA". It matches the Rfam family "Bacterial large subunit ribosomal RNA", at positions 313 to 2505 of the family's 2925-position model. The record is from RNAcentral.